AAUUGCAGGAAGGCGCGAGGAGUAAACAGACUAGUUCGCCUGCAAGAAAUGUACCACGUGAUGCAGUAGCCUGUUGAUGCUGGCAAAAGAUGCAAUCUGGAGGAUUUCAGGAGAUGGCUCUUGCUCACUGGCAGUGACUUGGGUCAUGUGAGACAGCAUCAGAGCUCGGGUGACAUCUCUCGCUCGGGUGAAAUCUCUCCUGGAAGAUUUCAAGGUAUGAAAUGUUUUACUCGGCUGCAUCUUCCAAUAGAUUACUCUUUAUAUUGGUAUGUAAUGAU
Long non-coding RNA from Engraulis encrasicolus (European anchovy), 278 nucleotides. RefSeq lists it as uncharacterized. The transcript is spliced from 3 exons. NCBI's taxonomy places the organism in Eukaryota, Metazoa, Chordata, Actinopteri, Clupeiformes, Engraulidae. The record is from RefSeq and is a predicted model, not a curated record.